UCUAAGGACAUACAUAUAAAAAUCAUCAUCUUCAGUUUUGAAAGACUUAGGUUAAAAUAUAA
Molecule: unclassified non-coding RNA, 62 nt
Filed under: Candidatus Phytoplasma vitis
Lineage: Bacteria; Bacillati; Mycoplasmatota; Mollicutes; Acholeplasmatales; Acholeplasmataceae
Description: partial 16S-23S ribosomal RNA intergenic spacer
Source: RNAcentral